RNAcentral lists this long non-coding RNA (204 nucleotides) under Oryza brachyantha (malo sina). Its description in RNAcentral is "long non-coding RNA (OBRA_LNC002999)". Lineage: Eukaryota; Viridiplantae; Streptophyta; Magnoliopsida; Poales; Poaceae. The record is from RNAcentral.
UUCACGUACCCCCAACCCCAAAGCCAAAGAUGCAAGCGAUCCACACAACGGCCAAUCGCUCCGAAUAUUUAUUCAGAUUCAUGAGCAUUUGGGCUGGGCAAGCAACCCAUAUACUGCCCACUCACGCAUUCAAAGAUCACGCAUGCUUAAAUCAUUAAAAUCUGCAGACGUGAGAUUAAUUUGUUGACAUAAAAUAUGGCGCUU